RNAcentral lists this ribosomal RNA (465 nucleotides) under uncultured bacterium. RNAcentral describes it as "partial 16S ribosomal RNA". It matches the Rfam family "Bacterial small subunit ribosomal RNA", at positions 28 to 507 of the family's 1533-position model. The record is from RNAcentral.
GACGAACGCUGGCGGCGUGCUUAACACAUGCAAGUCGAACGGAAAGGCCCUGCUUGCCGGGUACUCGAGUGGCGAACGGGUGAGUAACACGUGGGUGAUCUGCCCUGCACUUCGGGAUAAGCCUGGGAAACUGGGUCUAAUACCGGAUAGGAGCCAUUUUUAGUGUGAUGGUUGGAAAGUUUUUUCGGUGUAGGAUGAGCUCGCGGCCUAUCAGCUUGUUGGUGGGGUAAUGGCCUACCAAGGCGGCGACGGGUAGCCGGCCUGAGAGGGUGGACGGCCAAAAUGGGACUGGGAUACGGCCCAGACUCCUACGGGAGGGAGCAGGGGGGAAUAUUGCACAAUGGGCGCAAGCCUGAUGCAGCGACGCCGCGGGGGGGAUGACGGCCUUCGGGUUGGAAACUCCUUUCGCUAGGGACGAAGCUUUUUGUGACGGUACCUAGAUAAGAAGCACCGGCUAACUACGUG